CUUGACCUCAAAUCAGGUAGGACUACCCGCUGAACUUAAGCA
Molecule: ribosomal RNA, 42 nt
Filed under: Amanita flavipes
Lineage: Eukaryota; Fungi; Basidiomycota; Agaricomycetes; Agaricales; Amanitaceae
Also listed under: 1 other name
Description: partial 28S ribosomal RNA
Source: RNAcentral